RNAcentral lists this ribosomal RNA (335 nucleotides) under uncultured prokaryote. RNAcentral's name for it is "bacterial SSU rRNA". It matches the Rfam family "Bacterial small subunit ribosomal RNA", at positions 8 to 352 of the family's 1533-position model. The record is from RNAcentral.
AGAGUUUGAUCCUGGCUCAGAUUGAACGCUGGCGGCGUGCUUUACACAUGCAAGUCGAGCGGCAGCAUGACCUGGUGAUGCGNGCGGCGACGGUGAGUAAUGCAUCGGAACGUAUCCUUGAGUGGGGGAGUAACGCAGCGAAAAGUUGUGCUAAUACCGCAUAAGCUCUGAGGAGGAAAGCGGGGGACCGAAAGGCCUCGCGCUGAGGAGCGGCCGAUGUCCGAUUAGCUAGUGGUGAGGUAAAGGCUUACCAAGGCGACGAUCGGUAGCUGGUCUGAGAGGAUGAUCAGCCACACUGGGACUGAGACACGGCCCAGACUCCUACGGGAGGCGGA